UACGUAGGGUGCGAGCGUUAAUCGGAAUUACUGGGCGUAAAGCGUGCGCAGGCGGACUGUUAAGCAAGACGUGAAAUCCCCGGGCUUAACCUGGGAACGGCGUUUUGAACUGGCAGUCUAGAGUGUGUCAGAGGGGGGUAGAAUUCCACGUGUAGCAGUGAAAUGCGUAGAGAUGUGGAGGAAUACCAAUGGCGAAGGCAGCCCCCUGGGAUAACACUGACGCUCAUGUACGAAAGCGUGGGUAGCAAACAGG
RNAcentral lists this ribosomal RNA (253 nucleotides) under uncultured bacterium. Its description in RNAcentral is "partial 16S ribosomal RNA". It matches the Rfam family "Bacterial small subunit ribosomal RNA", at positions 524 to 776 of the family's 1533-position model. The record is from RNAcentral.